CAGCCUGAAGUGAUGAGUUUGGUUCAUGUCUCUUCUCUGAGAUUUGUGCUGGAGAUAGUCCAAUGACUCUGAUCAGGUG
Small nucleolar RNA from Struthio camelus australis, 79 nucleotides. NCBI's taxonomy places the organism in Eukaryota, Metazoa, Chordata, Aves, Struthioniformes, Struthionidae. The record is from Ensembl.